GUAGGUGGCAAGCGUUGUCCGGAAUUAUUGGGCGUAAAGCGCGCGCAGGCGGUUCUUUAAGUCUGAUGUGAAAGCCCGCGGCUCAACCGUGGAGGGUCAUUGGAAACUGGAGAACUUGAGUACAGAAGAGGAAAGCGGAAUUCCACGUGUAGCGGUGAAAUGCGUAGAGAUGUGGAGGAACACCAGUGGCGAAGGCGGCUUUCUGGUCUGUAACUGACGCUGAGGCGCGAAAGCGUGGGGAGCAAACAGGAUUAGAUACCCUGGUAGUCCACGCCGUAAACGAUGAGUGCUAAGUGUUAGGGGGGUUUUCCGCCCCCCUUAGUGCUGCAGCUAACGCAUUAAGCACUCCGCCUGGGAGUACGGCCGCAAGGCUG
RNAcentral lists this ribosomal RNA (374 nucleotides) under uncultured organism. RNAcentral describes it as "partial 16S ribosomal RNA". It matches the Rfam family "Bacterial small subunit ribosomal RNA", at positions 527 to 896 of the family's 1533-position model. The record is from RNAcentral.